UUCCUGCCUAGCGUUUGCAGAGGUUGUCUUCCUAUCCUAUAAAUAAUAGACCGAUCUACUCAAGCUAUGCGAACGAGUUGCGGAUAAAGCCACCGGUGAAGAGGAUAAAGUUGCGGACAAAGCCACCGGUGAAGAGGAUAAAGUUGCGGACAAAGCCACCGGUGAAGAGGAUAAAGUUGCGGAUAAAGCCACCGGUGAAGAGCAUAAAUUCACCGAUAACACCAUCGGUGAAGAGGCUGAAGAUAGCUCCGAUGGUGAAGAGGAAGAGGAGAGCUCCCCGUUCGAUCCUUCCAAACUCGGUUCCGUAAGAAUAGUGUUCAAUGCUUCCAAUGUCGGUGACGGAGAUGAUUAUGACUCCGAUGACACUGAUUUGGAGGGCAAGAAGCGGGAUGUCUAUCUUGAAUACAGACGUCAGUACAAGGAAAGAGAGGGAUUCGAUUUUGAUGAUUAUCCCAAGCCAGCUAAGGGAGAAUUUUUCUUUGGUGUUGCUCUUCAUGUCAAUCUCGAAGAUGAAGAUAGCCUUUUACCAAAGCCUGCAGAGAGGCACUUGAGUAUGCUGUGCAGGAACAGAAUAAAAAGGUUGCAAAUCUGAAUCCUCUUGAAAUUAUCAGAGCAAAGGUUGAAUCAAUUGGGUUGUAUCACAUAACUUUCAAUGCUGAAGAUAUGACUCUGGGAGGCACCAAACUUUAUCAAACUAGGGUCUUCCAUAGUUUAAUUCGUGGUAGCAAGCAGAAGUCUGAAGGUUUUCAGAUUAAAGGAACCAAAAAGGUCCUCUGUAUGCAGGGGCGGAGGGAGGGUACGGCAAGGGGGGCACGUGCCGUACCGGCGGCCGGAAAAUGCUUUAAAGGGGAUGAAGGUGCUGCAGUGGCGCAGCUGGUGGUGCCGCAGCAGUGCAGUUGCAGUGCCCUACCAAAAGGAAGCUCCUGGCUCCACCACUGUCCGUAUGUAUAUGUAAGUGAUUAUUUUUUCUUAAAUAAAAUUAAAAGUAGUAAAAAUAUUUAACAUUAAAAAUUACAGUUACCUCCUUUUCAAGUUUUUAAAAUUACUUGAAGCCCAAAUGACACCCACAACAGGCCCUUCUGUAACUAGCUUCAUCAAUUUAACUUCAUCUAUUUUAUCUUCAAUCAGUUUUGCUCCGGAAAUAGUAGCUACCGAGUCCUUCCGUAUCUGAUAAAUGCAACACAUUUUGAUUGAUAUUAUAUAAUUUAAUUUGAAUUAAAGAAAUACUACACUUAAUUACCUCCAUGAUAUAUUGAGGCUUCUGUCCUAUAAAAGGACAUAGGUCUUCCAAACAUAACUCCUGAUUAACUAAAAUUUCUUCAACAUACUUAAAGUGGGAUAUUGCAUAAUGGCCUACGAUGUUUAUCAGCAUCUAGACAUGAAAACCCACGAGUCCCUAUUGUUUUUAGUAAGAAUUAACUGAUUUUUAUCACGGUGCUACGACCCAACAUAUAUCUUUAUUUAAAAAGAAAAAAAAAGAAAAUCAAUAAUGAAUAUACAAUGGUACACAUAUAUCAAUAAUGAAUAUACAUUACUACACAUUAACUGAUUUAUGAUCAAUAAUGAAUAUGCAUAGAUGCAACUGAUUUCAUUUUAAUUUAUAAGCUUACUCUAUAGAAAAAGAAAAUCAUUUUUAUGUGUAGUAAUGUAUAUUCAUUAUUGAUUUUCUUCUUUUUUUCUUUUUAAAUAAAGAUAUAUGUUGGGCCGUAGCAAUAGUUGUCGUGAUUGAAGCUCGAUGGAAUAUAAUUCUUACUAAGAACAAUAGGGAUUCGUGGGUUUCCAUGUCCAGAUGCUGAUAAACAUCGUAGGCCAUUAUGCAAUAUCCCACUUUAAGUAUGUUGAAGAAAUAUUAGUUAAUCAGGAGUUAUGUUCGAAAGACCUAUGUCCUUUUAUAGGACGGAAGCCUCAAUAUAUCAGGGAGGUAAUUAAGUGUAGUGUUUCUUUAAUUCAAAUUAAAUUAUAUAAUAUCAAUCAAAAUGUGUUGCAUUUAUCAGAUACGGAAGGACUCGGUAGCUACUAUUUCCGGAGCAAAACUAAUUGAAGAUAAAAUAGAUGAAGUUAAAUUGAUGAAGCUGAUUGCAGAAGGGCCUGUUGUGGGUGUCAUUUGGGCUUCAAGUAAUUUUAAAAACUUGAAAAGGAGGUAACUGUAAUUUUUAAUGUUAAAUAUUUUUAUUGCCUUUAAUUUUAUUUAAGAAAAAAUAAUCACUUAUAUAUACAUACGGAGGACCUGGACCAUUAAAAAUAAAAGAAUUGCAUGCAGUAAUCAUUACUGAAUUUUGCAUGCAAUAAUCAUUAUUGAAUUUAGUGUCCAUAAUGAUGAAACUAAAUACUGAAAAAUUAAAAAUUCAUAUGGAGAAAACUGGUGCGAUAGAGGAUAUGGUAAAAUAAUUAGACAAUCGAAAAAAUCUAUUUUCGUCAAAAUAUGGUGCCCUAACGUCAGAAGUUUCAUUCAAUUUUUUUGAUAACUUCAAUCAUUUUAUACCAUUACUAUAUUUAUUAUUUAAUUUUAUGUUUAGUGAUUUUGAUUAGUUAUAUUUUUAAUAUAUUGAAGGAUGUGAAGUUGGUGA
Molecule: long non-coding RNA, 2567 nt
Organism: Manihot esculenta (cassava)
Lineage: Eukaryota; Viridiplantae; Streptophyta; Magnoliopsida; Malpighiales; Euphorbiaceae
Exons: 4
Source: RefSeq, a predicted model, not a curated record